Molecule: non-coding RNA, 212 nt
Organism: Paramuricea clavata
Lineage: Eukaryota; Metazoa; Cnidaria; Anthozoa; Malacalcyonacea; Plexauridae
Source: the annotation of a GenBank genome assembly
GUCAUUUUGUUUGGGGGAGGAGUUAUAGCUAAUAUUAGGGGGGGUAGCACCCCCCCCCCCCACAAAAUCCGUCUAUGCUUUUUAAUCUAGUUAACUUAGGUAACUGAGGAGUGAUUCAGAUUAGCAAGCAAGUCUCCAGGUCUAUUGUUCUUGCAAUUUUGUAUAGAUACAGUAUAGCUAUUUCAAUUAAGGUUGUCCCCCAAGCAAAGCAG